Molecule: transfer RNA, 56 nt
Filed under: Rhabdosynochus viridisi
Lineage: Eukaryota; Metazoa; Platyhelminthes; Monogenea; Dactylogyridea; Diplectanidae
Description: tRNA-Ser
Source: RNAcentral
AGAGUUUUUAGGGGUUACUUCUAAUAAUCUGAAGAGAAAAAUUUUUCUCAACUCUU